AGGAUCAUUAUUGAAGUAAACCUGAUAAGUUGUUGCUGGUUCUCUAGGGAGCAUGUGCACACUUGUCAUCUUUGUAUCUUCACCUGUGCACCUUUUGUAGACCUGAGUAUCUCUCUGAGUGCUUAGCAGUAUUCAGGAUUUGAGGAAUGACUUUUUUUUGUCUUCCUUAUAUUUUCAGGUCUAUGUUUCUUCAUAUACUCUAAUGUAUGUUAAAGAAUGUAAUCAAUGGGCUUUUUGUGCCUAUUAAUUUAUACAACUUUCAGCAACGGAUCUCUUGGCUCUCGCAUCGAUGAAGAACGCAGCGAAAUGCGAUAAGUAAUGUGAAUUGCAGAAUUCAGUGAAUCAUCGAAUCUUUGAACGCACCUUGCGCUCCUUGGUAUUCCGAGGAGCAUGCCUGUUUGAGUGUCAUUAAUAUAUCAACCUUUCUUGGUUGGAUGUGGGUUUGCUGGUCUCUUGAGGUCAGCUCCCCUUAAAUGCAUUAGCGGACAACAUAUUGCCAACUGUUCAUUGGUGUGAUAAUUAUCUACGCUAUUGACAUGAAGCAAGGUUCAGCUUCUAACAGUCCAUUUGACUUGGACAAGUUUAUCUUAUUAAUGUGGCCUCAAAUCAGGUAGGACUACCCGCUGAACUUAA
This 633-nucleotide ribosomal RNA is filed under the name Calonarius elegantissimus. RNAcentral describes it as "eukaryotic LSU rRNA". The stretch from base 255 to 408 matches the Rfam family "5.8S ribosomal RNA". The record is from RNAcentral. Lineage: Eukaryota; Fungi; Basidiomycota; Agaricomycetes; Agaricales; Cortinariaceae.